This 119-nucleotide ribosomal RNA is filed under the name Myripristis murdjan (pinecone soldierfish). Lineage: Eukaryota; Metazoa; Chordata; Actinopteri; Holocentriformes; Holocentridae. The record is from RNAcentral.
GCUCACGGCCACACCACCCUGAGCACGCCCGAUCUCAUCCGAUCUCGGAAGCUAAGCAGGGUUGGGUCUGGUUAGUACUUGGAUGGGAGACCACCUGGGAAUACCUGGUGCUGUAAGCU